UAAGACAGAGGGGGCGAGCGUUGUCCGGAGUCACUGGGCGUAAAGCGCGCGCAGGCGGUGGCCUAAGUGUCGUGUGAAAGCCCCCGGCUCAACCGGGGGAGGCCAUGGCAGACUGGGCGACUGGAGCUGCGGAGAGGCCCCUCGAAUUGCCGGUGUAGCGGUGAAAUGCGUAGAGAUCGGCAGGAAGACCAAGGGGGAAGCCAGGGGGCUGGCCGCGAGCUGACGCUGAGGCGCGACAGCGUGGGGAGCCAACCGGAUUAGAUACCCGGGUAGUCCACGCCGUAAACGAUGCCGGCUCGGCGUGUGGCGCGCGCGAGCGUGCUGGGCGCCUUAGCUCACGCGGUAAGCCGGCCGCCUGGGGACUACGAGCGCAAGCUUA
RNAcentral lists this ribosomal RNA (379 nucleotides) under uncultured bacterium. RNAcentral's name for it is "bacterial SSU rRNA". It matches the Rfam family "Bacterial small subunit ribosomal RNA", at positions 521 to 896 of the family's 1533-position model. The record is from RNAcentral.